This 119-nucleotide ribosomal RNA is filed under the name Helianthus annuus (common sunflower). The record is from RNAcentral. Lineage: Eukaryota; Viridiplantae; Streptophyta; Magnoliopsida; Asterales; Asteraceae.
GGUUGCGAUCAUACAAGCACUAAUGCACGAGAUCCCAUCAGACCUCCGCAGCUAAGCAUGCUUGGGCGAGAGUAGUACUAGGAUGGGUGACCCCCUGGGAAGUCCUCGUGUUGCAACCC